GUAGCCCAGAGACGCCCCGGAACCGGAAGCGUUCUGGUAAAGCCAUACGCUGCCGUACUUGUCGGUUUGCUCCGGUGCGUAGCCUCUGGCCACUUAAUUCGGCGGGAUCUGCCAACAGAGAAGUCUGGUUUUCCAAAAGGGGAAGGGAAUGGUCCCUGUCAUCCAUCUAGCCAAUUUUCAGUUGGUGAUCCAGAUGGAACCCGAGUAAGGGCCUCCAGCCCCCGGGACUGCCUCUCAGAAGAACUCUUCUCAAAAGACUGCCCCGGAGGACGGACUCCCCCUCGGGCCUAACCCAAAUUCUUCCGAGGCAAGGUAAGCUCCUAAAUGGGAGAUCCUUAUCAACAAAAUGGAAAUUUUUUGUCUUAUGUAGAGCAGUCUUUGGUGCAAGUAGAACAAUCCCUGUUGCAGAUAGAGCAGUCUCUCCUGCGUGAAGGGGAAGAAGAAUUACUUCUUCAGAAAGCAAAGGAAUCUCUCUUACAGAUAGAGAAGUUUCUCCUGCACCUAGGCAAGUCUUUGGAACACUUAGACAGUUAUUAUACAGGUAGAGUUAAAUCGGCAAUAAGGCAGACCUUGAAAUGAUUUCCUUCCAGAAAAUUGUGUAUACUAACUUUGCAGAAAGGUCGCAAAUUUGAAACAAAUCUCUCAGGAAAAGAAGUGAAGUUAGAAACAAAAUUUGUAGCACUGGCGACUUCCUUUUUUGGUUCCAUUUGGCCAAAGUAAAAUAGUUUUUCAGCUGAUAAAAUUCUUUCAGUUUCAAUUCAUCAUGCAGACAGUUCUGGCUUUACUGAAGUGGACCACCUUUCCACAGAUCUUUACCCAAAGUAAUUUUAUAUGAUGGGAAUGAGGUGAGAGUUUAUUCCAACCACCCAUUUCACUUAGCCUAAAGGCAUAUGCAGAAUGAUUCCUUUAUGCACCUAAUAAAGCCUACUAAGGCGCGGUAAACACUAUCUAUGAAAACAAACUAUUAUGAAUUGAAAGAUAAAGUUAUAAUUACUAUCUAAUAAGAUAUAGAAGUAUGCUACUCCUUCCCUACCUGCCCCACCAAACCUUUAUCACUGGUGAUGAUUCUUCCCAUAAGGUCAAAUUUGCAUAAUGAAAAUGUACACAAAGCAAGAACUGCCUGUAUUUAGUUGCUGCAAAUAAAGUCAGUCCCUGGGUCCCCCUUAUACUGUUGGACCCCGGGCUUAAGCUGGCUACCUCUCUUGGCACUACAAAUGGUAGCGGCCAUCCUGAAACUCACUUGAACAUGGUGCUGUGAUAACUGUCUUGAGAGCAAGGGCUACCAGUUAGAAUGCCGUGGACUGCCAAAAGGGACUCCCAGUUAGAUCCAUGAGCCAAGGACAAGGUCACUGAUUAAGACCCUGAAGGCAAGCUGCAGCUGCUUAGCCAGGGGAACUGAGCCAUAGAAGAGAGCAAGGGACACAACUGCCUUGGACAGGGACUCCUUGGGAAUAAACUCCUUGCUGGAGGUUUUCCUCUCUUUCUGAAGGGAGAUCCUAAGAACUAUAUCUAUGUAAUUACACAAGUCUUCUUAAUUUGAAACUGGACUGCAAAAAUUCACGAAGAGCUACGAAAUGAUAAAAUCUCCAAAUAGCCUGGCCAAAGGGGAAGAGUGCAGUAGCUUGAGACAAAUGUCUGUUCAAAGAAUCCUUGCAUUCCUUGUCUUGACUGGGGCGAGUAGAAAACACCCCAUAGAAGUCUACUUGUCUUCUUCAGGCAAGAGGCACCCCACUUCGGGUCAUUCAUGGCUGUAGCAGCCAGGAUUCCCAUUUAAUACCCCUUCAUGGGGAACAAUAGGGACAGUAUUAGUGUUCCCCAGGGAACCCUUAAAUCCUGGGCUCCAAGUAGGUUACUGGUACAGCCAGGAAUGGUGAAGACACCUGCUGUUAAAUUAUGUGAACCCAGUCCAAGACUGCUAGAAAUUCAGUUUAGAAGCUAUUUUGACCUAGAACUGGCAUCUUAGAUUAUUGCAUAUUACAAAACUUGAGACUGCUGAAAGAUCUCACUCCUAUCAAAUGAAUUAUUGGUUAAUUAUUAGCCUUAUUAGGUAGCUGUCAGUAAUAGACUAUGCCCAGCUACACCCGUAGUGGGGGAGUAUGACACUCUCCUCCACUUCUACAGGAAGCAGGAGUCAAUUGGGUAACCUAUGUCCUCUCAGGAGGGACUCCUUUAUACCAGAGAGCUGUCACGAGAUAGCCCAUCUGUCUUUGUCAUCUGUGUUUUUGUAUCCUGGCAAAUUAAAUCUGUGAAUGGGAGAACUUCAUCCCUAUCAGUUUAAUUAUUGGUUCUACAGUUAGAAUUCAAAAGGGAAUUAUUUAAAAUAGAGGUCUUAAAUUAUGUAAUGAUUGGUCUUAAAACAUAUUAAAAUCUUGAUAUGUUCCUGAUCCGGUCCAAAGAAGAGACUUUCAGUUACUAAAGACUUUGUGAUUACAGUCAGUAAAACCAUGCUCACUGGCUUUUUGGUUAAACUAAAAGAGGGAAAUAACAUUGCUGGCAAGUACAUCUAUUUGUUUUUCUGUGUUUUUGUCUUGAUAAUUAAACUAACUCUUUCUUUACAGUCUGAUCAUCCAAAAGGAGAAUGGUAUAGAGAAUAAACACUUUCUACAGAACCUUGAAAAGCCCUCAAAAAGGAAAGUUCCUCUCUCUGCCUUUCUGGCUCCCUCCAGCCUCAGGGAGGUAGACAAGAGACACAGAUAAGAAGGGAGGAAUCUUUUUUUUCCCCCCCAAUCUGCAGGAAUUUGUGGCAUUAUAUCCUAAUUAGAGACCAAAAUUAAUUUUCUUUAUUAUAAUUUUCCAAACUGCGGUUAAAAUUUUUUAUUUCUAUAAAAUUUGCUUAUAUCACUUUUUCUCUGGAGAGUGACCAAUUUACUGAUUAGAGAAAAGAAAACUGCAACUAGUGAAUUCCAAAGUGUUUGCAGUUUGCAGUUUGACCAUGGAGAGAAGAAAACUUGUUUUAAAAUGAGGAAGCAACUGAAAAGUAAGUAAAAUUUAAUGUUCUUCCCUGAGUGAUACAACAGAAAUCUAUUAGGUUAGUUAGACAUGCUGUGAAUCUAUAAUAAAUACUGAAAUAAUAUUCUAGGGUUACUCAGGGUAGAAUUAAACAAAGGAGUUAAUAGAGUACUCAAAUUACAAAAGACCAAAUUAAAAGGCAUAGCAAAAUUUGAAGUUUUGAGAAAGCAGAACAAAAUUUGCAAAUUAUUUCAGGUCAUUCUUGCCUAAUUCUCCUCCGUUUUGAAACACAUUUUAUGAGAUAAAAUUAGGAAGCUCACAAUUUAAAACAAAUUUUCAUCAUUUGGAGAUUAAUUUACAACGUACAAAGAAUUUUGAAAUUCAAAACACAAAUCCUGGUACUCCAUAAAGGAAAAGAUAGAUUAGAUUUAAAAAAUCAAUAUGACUUUUUUAGCCAUUUGGAAGAAAAUAGAGAAAAGGGGUUACACUUGGAAGCCUUGGGAAAAUUAUGGUUUCCAUCAGACAGAGAUUAAUUUUUUUAACCCUUCCCUUCUGUUUUAGAAUCAGUACCAAUUGCACUAACUGUUUGAUUCCAAGGCAGAAGAUUUGUAAGGGUAAGGGAUUGGGGUAAAGUGUGACUUGUCAUGGGCCAUAUCGGUGGGAGGUGGCUGAGGCCAAAUUUGAACCCAGUACCUCCCAUCUCCAGGUCUGGCUCUCUCUCCACUGAGCCAUUUACGUGCCUCACAGAUUGAUUCUUGAAGCCAAAAUUGUGAGUGCAGAUACUUCAUAAUCAAAGAAUUGUUCUAAUACUAAUCACUGUUGAGCAUUUGAUAAUGAGGCAGAUUUAAUUGGCUCAGAGAAAAUUACAAUCUGCUUCCCUAUCAAGGAGCUAGUGAAAUUGAUGUGUGUUUUUUUUAACAUGAGAGAAUUUGCAUAAAUGUACUAAUAUACAUCAUUAAAAGAUAAUAUUGUUUAAUUUCCAUUUAAUUGUUUUGCUCGAUUCUCAGCAAUUGUUGUCACACUAUCACUUUUUAGUUUGUGUGGUUAUGUCUAAAGCAGUUAGUUUUGUAGAAUGAAAGCAUAAGCUUCCUGAAAUCAAUGGGCUCUCAGGAAAAUUGAGAGUUAAAUAUUAUUAUUGGAGAUUAUAAAUCUAGGUUUGUUCUGGCUGGAAUUUUGUACUGAAACUAAAUUGUAGUUGUGGUAAAUCAGUGAAUUUCUUAGCAAAUAAACUUACUGAAUUCAAUAUUCCAUACAAAUGCAUGAUUCAAAUAAAUAUGAAUUAAAAUCCAGCUUCAGGAGUUUAUUAGUUAUGUGACUUUAUUUAGGUGAAUUGCCUACAUUACCUCAAUUUUCUCUUUAUGAAUAAAUAGUAACACCACCAGCACCCCAUGGUAGUUGGAAAAAUAAAAUGAUUGUAAAGUACUUGACAUAAUGUGCAUUGUCUGUGUUGGCUGUUGCUAUUGUGUCAUGACAUGCUGUAAUUUGACUUGAGAUAAAAACUCAUUGUGUUGUUUAGGCUUCUGUUUUUUGUAUAUUGUGAAAUCUGGGAAACUUGUAUCAGAAAUAUAAUUAAAAGGGGAAUUUCUCUUUUAAUGAGUCAACUCUGCUUUUAAAUAUAUGCCGUUAUAUGAAAUUUUCUAAUGUAUUGUGACGUGGGCACAGAGAAGCCCCUUCUCUAUUAAGCUGUUGAGAUGAAUGUGGUAACAGUGUUUGAAAAUUGUAUUAGAGGUACUUUUUACUCCUGAAGUAUAAAAUUAUUAUAAUUGAAUGAGAAGUCUGAGAGCCUUCAAGCCAGAGCCAUGAUCUGAAUUUGUAACUGUGUUUGAGUAAAGUUAGUGUCUCUUGUAGACCCCGUGAGAGGUCUUCAUGUUGCACAUGUCUAACAAUGUUUACUUUUAAUUGCCUGAAUUAAUGUCAUUUGACUAAAUUAGUUUUGUAUCUCAUAAAUUGGACUUCUAAAAAAUAGCAAAAUUAUUAAAAUUCCUACAUAUUCAGUGGGUUACAUUGCCUUUGUACAAGAUAAUCAUGGUAACUUGCUGUUUGAAUAGUGAAGUCCUAAGAUUUUAUCAACCCUAUUCCCUUAUCUUUAUCUAAAUAGAGAGUUAUAUACUAAAUAUUAAAAUAUAUCACUUAUUGUGAUGAAAUUUUUCCUUUAGCCACUAUAUUGAAUAUAGGAAACUUUAUCUAUUAAUGGAUAUUAUAUGAUUUGAAACCAAUGCUGUUGAUCGUUAUUGGCACAUAAAACAGAAUAAUUAUAUCUUACCCUAAUAUAUGCUUCACAGAGUUUUGCUAUUUAAGGUAAAAUCUUUGGGACUUUAAUUUGAUAGAGUUCUGAGUUUUGAUUUCAGGUGUGCUGUUAAGAUCACAAACCUAUUAAUCCACCAUUCUAAGGGCUGCCAUAUUCUGCAGUGUGAGGACUGCUACAGGUGGAUGUUUGCCUUUGGGAGAAAGUCAAGGGGACGACCUUGCAACGUUGAAGGUAGGAUCCUCUUGACUUGGUUUCCCAUUAAACUACUUCCUUUCUGAAGAGGAAAUAUUCCCACCUAUUUGAGCCUGGCUUUUGGUAGCCUUUGAAUAAUGUGGACCUCUGGCAUGAUUGGCUAUUAACUAUUGCUCUGGCCUGGAAUCAAAAUAAAACUGUCUUUUCCCCUUGUUAUAACUUCCCACUAUCAUAUCCAUGUCCCUCCUUUUCCUUUCAUAGCAAAUUUCUGUAACAAGUGCUGGGAGUGAAACACUUCAGCUUAUAAAAUGGAACCACAUUCUAGAGAUUUAUGGCAGGUAAUUAGUUAUUAGCAAAACAUCUGAAUUAUAGAAAGAUGAUUCGCAUCUGGCUUGUAGUUAUAUUCAUGUAUAGACUAUAAGAAUUAUAUCCUCAUAAGGAGGAAGUAAGAGGGAAAUGUGACAAAGAUAGUUUUCAAAAUUGCAUUAAGGACUUCAACAUGUGAUCUUGCAUUGAUAAAUUGUAUCCAUAAUUGUAAAGUGGGUGUAUUUAUUUUUGUAAUUGAAGUAUUUAUCUUAAAGUAUUAAAAGAAAGAACAACUCAUUUUCCAAUUCAGGCCCUUGCAGAGUCUUUGUAAGAACAUAUAAAGGGUUUAAGUAAAGAUAGAAAACAGAGUGGUAUGUAACAACUGAAAUCUCUGAAGUUUCAGGUGCAUUGUGGGUUCUUAAUUUGAUGUUCUUGUAGCUCCAUUGUUAAUAAAAUCAGAACCAUAAGACUUGGGCAGGUUUUUCACCAUAUGAACUAGAAAUUGUGUUGAGUUUGUAUUAAGCCUUCCUGCAUGCUCUUGGCAUCUGAGAAGCAGAUCUGGAAAGACAACCAACAUCUGUGGCCUCAUAUCCAAAGCACUAUACAACUUAGGACUGCACCACAACUUUACCUUUGGACUUUUUCAUCUACAUCAAGAAUUUCCAGUGACCCAGUGGAACUACUUCAUCAACGCCCUCAUUCUCCCCCCCCCCCCCCAUGCGCCAUUGCCUCUGUACCAAAGGGGAAUGCCCCCUGAACAUUUCUGUCAAUGCGCCAGCCCUCCAUGGUAAGGCUUUAGCCUAUAGAACAUCCCCCUGACUUUAAAUUCUGGCACUGCCAUUAGUUCUAACACUGUUGCCCAUAUGCCUCUCAUGAAAACUGGAUAAUGAUUAAUCUGGUGUUGGACUUUCUAUAGUCAGGUAUGACAUCUGCUCCUUGGACCUAUGGAUGUUGGGUCUGUCACCAGCUCUACCAAAGCACCCCCAAAUAAUGGGUACCUGUUCCUGUCCAGCUUUGCAAUUUUUAGGGAUAGGAUCCCCUCACUUGCUGCUAAUUCCUUGUGGAAUGAUCCCUAUUCUUGGGUUUCUAAGAUGUGUUCCUGACUAGGAGGUGAGGGCAUACGUUUCCUUCUGGCCUUCUGUAAAAUACAUUACAUGUUCUACUUGUGUGUUCUCUUAGGAUGACUGCAGAGACAGUUAACACAAGGUUUUUUUUGGUUGUUGUUGCUGUAAUGAUUGCCUUCUGUAUUUCAUGAUGUUUAUGUGAAUCUCCCCUCUCAACUUGACUUCAUAUACCUACACAGUCCCCCCAGUGCUAAGGGAUGCCGAUCAUGUCUAAUUAUAUUGAUGUAGUUUGUGGAAAGCCAUUCAUGGGAAACGUCUUCCUUGAAUCAAAGGGGGAUGUUGUGGAAUUGUAAAUUGAUACUUCUUUAUUUUGUAUUAUUUUAUUGGUUUAUUUAAUUUACUAUGUGUUAAUGGUCACAUUGUUAUGUAUCAGUCAUUCCUUUUUAGUAUGUGAACUUGAAUUCUCUCUGAACUUAAGCUUACGGCUGCAAGCUUCUAAUUGUAACCUGUCACCCUCCAUCAACAAAGUAAUCAUGUUAUACAUUGCUGGCUAAGUCAUCCUUUUAUUGUUUCUUCAUGCACACUUUAAUACCCACAAGUACAAACAACUCGAGUAUUAUUUCCCCUUUCCUGGGUAUUUUCUACUCACAAAAAUUCUAAUUCAAUCCAAAAUCAGAAAGUGCCAACCAUGGGACUUUACAGAGGUUAGGCCAUCUGGUAACUAUCUGAUGUCAUUUCUGGUUGGGAAUCAUUCAGAAGUGAGAUACACCUGUGUUGCCCAAGAUUGUGUUGACUGAGCUGAUCAGUUCUUCCACUGACUCUAAAAGAGCUACCUUGACUGUCAGAUGUAACCUUAGCAACUGAGGACCUUGGAUCCCAUUUAUUGGCAAUUGCUAACUUUGCUAAUAAAUUGAAUAUGCUUUGAA
Molecule: non-coding RNA, 7685 nt
Organism: Monodelphis domestica (gray short-tailed opossum)
Lineage: Eukaryota; Metazoa; Chordata; Mammalia; Didelphimorphia; Didelphidae
Source: RefSeq, a predicted model, not a curated record